CAGCCGCCACGGUAAUACGAAGGGGGCUAGCGUUGCUCGGAAUGACUGGGCGUAAAGGGCGCGUAGGCGGCGGCCAAAGUCAGGCGUGAAAUUCCCGGGCUCAACCUGGGGGCUGCGUUUGAUACUUGGUUGCUUGAGUGGGGAAGAGGGUCGUGGGAUUCCCAGUGUAGAGGUGAAAUUCGUAGAUAUUGGGAAGAACACCGGUGGCGAAGGCGGCGACCUGGUCCUUUACUGACGCUGAGGCGCGAAAGCGUGGGGAGCAAACAGGAUUAGAUACCCCUGUAGUCCCUGUCUCUUAUAA
RNAcentral lists this ribosomal RNA (301 nucleotides) under uncultured bacterium. RNAcentral describes it as "partial 16S ribosomal RNA". It matches the Rfam family "Bacterial small subunit ribosomal RNA", at positions 509 to 809 of the family's 1533-position model. The record is from RNAcentral.